AAAGACAUUAUAAUAAAACAUAAAAAAACAUAUGAGAUGAGAGAUUAGAGAAGAUGAAAAAAAGAACAUAAGAGAUGCGAGAUUGAGAAGAAAAGUGCAAUAAAAACAUAAUUGGAAGAGAAAAUAGUAACAUAAAAGAUAAAAAAGAAAGAACAUAAUAGAGGACUUAUUAGAGUAGAAUAGGCGUGACCUACAUGAAAAAGAAGAUGAGAAGAAUGUGUGAUACUACUAUGAGAGAUUUAAGAAGGUUGAAAUUGAAACCCUAAGUGUGAUUAAGAGAAAAUUGUUUGUAAUUGUAAGGUUAAGGCAUACUAGGUUUGAG
This 322-nucleotide long non-coding RNA is filed under the name Lathyrus oleraceus (garden pea). Its description in RNAcentral is "Pisum sativum (pea) long non-coding RNA (PSAT_LNC030582)". The record is from RNAcentral. Lineage: Eukaryota; Viridiplantae; Streptophyta; Magnoliopsida; Fabales; Fabaceae.